AUGAACGCUGGCGGCGUGCCUAAUACAUGCAAGUCGAGCGAACGGACGAGAAGCUUGCUUCUCUGAUGUUAGCGGCGGACGGGUGAGUAACACGUGGAUAACCUACCUAUAAGACUGGGAUAACUUCGGGAAACCGGAGCUAAUACCGGAUGAUAUUUUGAACCGCAUGGUUCAAAAGUGAAAGACGGUCUUGCUGUCACUUAUAGAUGGAUCCGCGCUGCAUUAGCUAGUUGGUAAGGUAACGGCUUACCAAGGCAACGAUGCAUAGCCGACCUGAGAGGGUGAUCGGCCACACUGGAACUGAGACACGGUCCAGACUCCUACGGGAGGCAGCAGUAGGGAACCUUCCGCAAUGGGCGAAAGCCUGACGGAGCAACGCCGCGUGAGUGAUGAAGGUCUUCGGAUCGUAAAACUCUGUUAUUAGGGAAGAACAUAUGUGUAAGUAACUGUGCACAUCUUGACGGUACCUAAUCAGAAAGCCACGGCUAACUACGUG
Molecule: ribosomal RNA, 496 nt
Filed under: uncultured bacterium
Lineage: Bacteria
Description: partial 16S ribosomal RNA
Rfam family: Bacterial small subunit ribosomal RNA
Source: RNAcentral